AUUGAACGCUGGCGGCAUGCCUUACACAUGCAAGUCGAACGGCAGCACGGGAGCUUGCUCCUGGUGGCGAGUGGCGAACGGGUGAGUAAUACAUCGGAACGUACCCUGAAGUGGGGGAUAACGUAGCGAAAGUUACGCUAAUACCGCAUAUUCUGUGAGCAGGAAAGCAGGGGAUCGCAAGACCUUGCGCUCUGGGAGCGGCCGAUGUCGGAUUAGCUAGUUGGUGGGGUAAAGGCCUACCAAGGCGACGAUCCGUAGCGGGUCUGAGAGGAUGAUCCGCCACACUGGGACUGAGACACGGCCCAGACUCCUACGGGAGGCAGCAGUGGGGAAUUUUGGACAAUGGGCGAAAGCCUGAUCCAGCCAUGCCGCGUGAGUGAAGAAGGCCU
This 389-nucleotide ribosomal RNA is filed under the name uncultured bacterium. RNAcentral describes it as "bacterial SSU rRNA". It matches the Rfam family "Bacterial small subunit ribosomal RNA", at positions 30 to 417 of the family's 1533-position model. The record is from RNAcentral.